Molecule: long non-coding RNA, 379 nt
Filed under: Nicotiana benthamiana
Lineage: Eukaryota; Viridiplantae; Streptophyta; Magnoliopsida; Solanales; Solanaceae
Description: long non-coding RNA (NBEN_LNC022837)
Source: RNAcentral
UUUCACGUGUCAUUUUAUAAAAUUCAAGUUUCCAGUAUUCAGAUUUCAUGUCACAACAUUUAUGUUUCUAGUAUUCAGAUCUCAUAUUAGAAUAUUCAAGUCAGUUCAGUACUCAAAUACUCAUUUCAGUCCAGUACUCAGAUAUUCAUGCCACUUAGUACCCAGAUAUUAAUGUCAAUUCAGUGAUCACAUGUUCACGUCAUUUUAAUACUUGAUUAUUCAUUCCAUUUCAGUAUUCAUAUAUCCACGUUAGUUCAGAAUUCACGUAUCCAUAACAGACAAAUGUUCAUGUAUAUAUAUCACGUUAUGCGUAUUAUUAUGCCCUACGAAGCUAGUGUUAUGCUCUGUUAGCUGGUAGGUAUUGGGAGAAAUGUCGAAG